RNAcentral lists this ribosomal RNA (497 nucleotides) under uncultured bacterium. RNAcentral's name for it is "partial 16S ribosomal RNA". It matches the Rfam family "Bacterial small subunit ribosomal RNA", at positions 28 to 507 of the family's 1533-position model. The record is from RNAcentral.
GAUGAACGCUGGCGGCGUGCCUAAUACAUGCAAGUCGAGCGAACAGACGAGGAGCUUGCUCCUCUGACGUUAGCGGCGGACGGGUGAGUAACACGUGGAUAACCUACCUAUAAGACUGGGAUAACUUCGGGAAACCGGAGCUAAUACCGGAUAAUAUAUUGAACCGCAUGGUUCAAUAGUGAAAGACGGUUUUGCUGUCACUUAUAGAUGGAUCCGCGCCGCAUUAGCUAGUUGGUAAGGUAACGGCUUACCAAGGCAACGAUGCGUAGCCGACCUGAGAGGGUGAUCGGCCACACUGGAACUGAGACACGGUCCAGACUCCUACGGGAGGCAGCAGUAGGGAAUCUUCCGCAAUGGGCGAAAGCCUGACGGAGAAAAGCCGCGUGAGUGAUGAAGGUCUUCGGAUCGUAAAACUCUGUUAUUAGGGAAGAACAAAUGUGUAAGUAACUAUGCACGUCUUGACGGUACCUAAUCAGAAAGCCACGGCUAACUACGUG